This 22-nucleotide small RNA is filed under the name Arabidopsis thaliana (thale cress). Its description in RNAcentral is "ATSL021790". Lineage: Eukaryota; Viridiplantae; Streptophyta; Magnoliopsida; Brassicales; Brassicaceae. The record is from RNAcentral.
GUUCUGUCUGCCGCCGAUCUAA